AACGAACGCUGGCGGCGUGCCUAACACAUGCAAGUCGAGCGCGAAAAGGGCAACCUGAGUAGAGCGGCGCACGGGUGCGUAACACGUGGGUAAUCUGCCUUAGAGUCGAGGAUAACCUUCCGAAAGGUUGGCUAAUACUCGGUAAGCUUACGGUGUCUUCGGACGCUGUGGGAAAAGUAGGCCUCUGUUUACAAGCUUACGCUCUGAGAUGAGCCCGCGGCCCAUCAGCUAGUUGGCGGUGUAACGGACCACCAAGGCAACGACGGGUAGCUGGUCUGAGAGGAGGAUCAGCCACGCUGGAACUGAGACACGGUCCAGACUCCUACGGGAGGCAGCAGUGGGGAAUUUUCCACAAUGGGCGAAAGCCUGAUGGAGCAACGCCGCGUGUGUGAUGAAGGUUUUCGGAUCGUAAAGCACUUUCGACCGGGACGAAAAACCUCUGGCUAACAUCCAGGGGCCUGACGGUACCGGGAGAAGAAGCACCGGCUAACUCUGUGCCAGCCGCCGCCGUAA
This 513-nucleotide ribosomal RNA is filed under the name uncultured bacterium. RNAcentral's name for it is "partial 16S ribosomal RNA". It matches the Rfam family "Bacterial small subunit ribosomal RNA", at positions 29 to 523 of the family's 1533-position model. The record is from RNAcentral.